Long non-coding RNA from Cyanistes caeruleus (blue tit), 930 nucleotides. The record is from Ensembl. NCBI's taxonomy places the organism in Eukaryota, Metazoa, Chordata, Aves, Passeriformes, Paridae.
GAUGCCAUCAGAUGCAGAAUAUAAGUAAAGUUUGGCAGAAGUUCAAGGGGCCUGGAUUUUAAAUUUAUAAAGGCUCUGUAAAUUUCUUUGAAUACACUACGAAGAAUGAUUACACCUAACUCAAAAUCAUAAUUGAAGCGAUAAUAGAAUCUUCUCACCUACAGGAUGUUCUUCAGCUGUGCACAAGCUGCAUGCGUGUUCCAGUGUAGUGAAUUAUUUUAAUUGCUCUUGACAAAUUAAGAUGCACUCUCUCAUUGAGUCAGUUAGCUACAGCAGAUUGGCUGAAAAUGACAGACGACGUGAUAAUGAUAGCUAAGAGAUUAGGCAUAUGAGAAAGGUUCUUUAAAACAUACCCUGCAACUACUUUACGUCACAGCAGCCUUUCUUGUCACUGUGAGGUUUAUUAAUCAACACAGACACAAAGAAACAUCCUUCAUAAAUGAAAAGUGUGGAAGCUACCUGUUCCUCCAGAACUCUAUAGGACUGUUAACAGACUAGAUGGAGUAAAACCAUAAAAGGAGAGGAAAAGACACAGAUCCUGUGCAAGCUGCUUGACAUGACAAGGCAGAAGAGAGAGCAUAGAACUAUCUAUUUGACCUUCCACUGCUCUUUGUCUCUUCAUUGCUGGCAAUCUCUGUGUCUCACACAUUUACUGUGGAGUUUUUCUCCAGAGCAAUCAAUACCUUGGUCUGCUUUCCAACUGCAAAAUAUUACAUGUAUCUUCAUACUUCGAAUCUGAGAGUAACACUAAGCUUCUGUGUGCAUGGUCUGUAGAUGUUCCAUCAACAACAAGAAGGCAAACAAGAAAAUCAUGACAGUUGUGUCCAACCACAAAUCUUUUGGAUAGAUGAAAUCUGUGCAAAAAGAAGGCUCUGAACAAAAAACAAAAACAAAAAACAAAGACAAAAAACAAAAUAAAAAUAAGUCACA